Molecule: transfer RNA, 76 nt
Filed under: Aliarcobacter butzleri
Lineage: Bacteria; Pseudomonadati; Campylobacterota; Epsilonproteobacteria; Campylobacterales; Arcobacteraceae
Description: tRNA-Trp
Rfam family: tRNA
About the family: Transfer RNA (tRNA) molecules are approximately 80 nucleotides in length. Their secondary structure includes four short double-helical elements and three loops (D, anti-codon, and T loops). Further hydrogen bonds mediate the characteristic L-shaped molecular structure. tRNAs have two regions of fundamental functional importance: the anti-codon, which is responsible for specific mRNA codon recognition, and the 3' end, to which the tRNAs corresponding amino acid is attached (by aminoacyl-tRNA synthetases). tRNAs cope with the degeneracy of the genetic code in two manners: having more than one tRNA (with a specific anti-codon) for a particular amino acid; and 'wobble' base-pairing, i.e. permitting non-standard base-pairing at the 3rd anti-codon position.
Source: RNAcentral
AGGUCAGUAGCUCCAAUGGUAGAGCACCGGAUUCCAAAUCCGAUGGUUGUGGGUUCGAAUCCCCCCUGGCCUGCCA